GCCACUGUUGGAAGCUCCUGCAGCCGGGGCACCCGCAACACAGGAGCCCUAGCAACGUUUCAGAACCGAAGGGGUCACACGGUGUUCCUGUGUCUGAAGUCCUUCCUGCUGCUAUACCUCCAAGCUACAACUAAGGAGUUAACAUAAUUUCACGGGCUCUCUAGCUUCCCAGAGCCACAAGACAGACCGGAUGAGAUAACUAGAUUGACAACGGGUACAAGAUGCCAACAAGGUAAUGGAAACCCAAGUUCCAGUUUGAAGCGGCCUACAUCACACAUUUCUCAAACACAAAGAAGAAAGGAAUUGGCCUAAUCAAGACCUUUCAAGGGGAAGAGAACCACAGAGCCAUGACCAUAAACAGCU
RNAcentral lists this long non-coding RNA (363 nucleotides) under Canis lupus familiaris (dog). RNAcentral's name for it is "lncRNA (ENSCAFG00000051759.1)". Lineage: Eukaryota; Metazoa; Chordata; Mammalia; Carnivora; Canidae. The record is from RNAcentral.